Molecule: ribosomal RNA, 437 nt
Filed under: Enterobacter cloacae complex sp. 2DZ2F20B
Lineage: Bacteria; Pseudomonadati; Pseudomonadota; Gammaproteobacteria; Enterobacterales; Enterobacteriaceae
Description: bacterial SSU rRNA
Rfam family: Bacterial small subunit ribosomal RNA
Source: RNAcentral
CCUACGGGAGGCAGCAGUGGGGAAUUUUCCGCAAUGGGCGAAAGCCUGACGGAGCAAUACCGCGUGAGGGAAGACGGCCUAUGGGUUGUAAACCUCUUUUUUCAGGGAGGAACAAAAUGACGUGUACCUGAAGAAUAAGCAUCGGCUAACUCCGUGCCAGCAGCCGCGGUAAGACGGAGGAUGCAAGUGUUAUCCGGAAUCACUGGGCGUAAAGCGUCUGUAGGUGGUUUGUUAAGUCAACUGUUAAAUCUUGAGGCUCAACUUCAAAUCAGCAGUCGAAACUAUCAGACUAGAGUAUAGUAGGGGUAAAGGGAAUUUCCAGUGGAGCGGUGAAAUGCGUAGAUAUUGGAAAGAACACCGAUGGCGAAGGCACUUUACUGGGCUAUUACUAACACUCAGAGACGAAAGCUAGGGUAGCAAAUGGGAUUAGAUACCCU